Numida meleagris (helmeted guineafowl) is the source of this 9487-nucleotide long non-coding RNA. RefSeq lists it as uncharacterized. The transcript is spliced from 3 exons. The record is from RefSeq and is a predicted model, not a curated record. NCBI's taxonomy places the organism in Eukaryota, Metazoa, Chordata, Aves, Galliformes, Numididae.
CAGAGGUCCUUUGUGUCCAGUGUGUCAACUGUAAUGUAUUUUUUUUUUUAUGACAUGAUGACAUAGAACAUUUCCAGAGUUUUAUGCUUGCCAGAAAACUGCUUGGAUGGGGACAAGGGAUAUCUUCCCUUGCUCUAGCACACCUUCAGAAGUGAACCUUUCUCACUCUCCAUGGUAACCCUGAGACAUGUUUCUUUCACACAAAUUCAGUCAACAUAUAACAAAGUAGAACUUCAUGGACUAAGUUUCUAGUCAGAGCUAUUCCUCACCCCAUCCAACCCCACACGCCUAUUUUUAUGGACUCACAUGAGCAAAACCAUUCACCUUUGUUUAAGCACUUAGCUUUCCAUUUUCUUUGUGUUUGCUGGUUCCUGGUUUGUAAACACAGAACAGAUAAUGCUUGAGACACAGCACAGAGAUUUUGCAAGUUUCGGUUAUGAUUGCACAAGAAAUAGAAUUAGGUAAAAGAAAAAUUACUGUUUGCAUUUUCCAGAUUUGGAAAUUUUCCUUUUCAUCACUGUUUGCUAGGGAAUUUGGGGCCUUUGGAGUGUUCAGGAGCCUUCACUGACACAGCUUUGCCUCCUGAAUCUCUUCUUUGAAAACAGCUAGCAAGCCUGGAAGCACCCCUCAGCUGCAACAUGAGCGCAUCUUCUGGGGGUCAUCAGAACAUCACUCAGCCCACGGCUCCGAGCCAUGGUGGCAGUAGAUCACUGCCUCUGCUCACUGCAGGUCUGAGCCUGCUCUCCCUAGCUGCCUCAACCCAGUUCCACUGGUAGGCAAAACCAACAUAUUUGGAAGGAGACACGGCAGCCAGCACAUCUUGGAGACCCAGUGACAGCAGAUGCAAUUGUUUCCCAAGAGCUCUGCACCUUACUAUAAUGAUAAUGAUUUCUCCAUAGAGGUGAACUUCUAUUACAAAGAUCAGUCUAUUAGAGCAGUAAAAACAAUGAACUUCCUUUGUCUUGUCUUGCUCCUUUCAUUAAAAUCUGUGUGAUUUGGCUACUGUUUUCUUUGAUUGACACCCUGCAGCCUCAUUAGGAUGAUCUGUUAAUUAGUAAAGAUGCCUUUUCGCACAUUGCUGCUGCCUCUUUUUCUGUUGAGUGCUGGCUAUUUUCCUUUUCAUUACUGUGUUCUUGGUCCAUGGCAGAAAAAGUCCUUGUGACAGAGUCAGUACAUGACAAAGGUAUUUUUGAGGCAGUAAUAUAAAGACAGGUAUUUCAACUACUAGUUUCUCUAUUCUUUCAUCUCCCUUCUCUAUUCUUUCAUCUCCCCAACACUAUUAAUAUGCAAUAAGCACUUGGUGAUGAUUUCAGUUCUACAUUACCGGAAGUAAAUGAAGCUGAACCAUGUUAUAUGAAGAAUUACAACUUCCUUGCUCUUACUACAGCACAAACUUCCACAAGAAGUUGCAGAACUGUUAGAGCCAAUGCCUUUGAUUACACAAGUGAAAAUGUAAGGGAACAGAUGGCCUAAUUCCUUGUAGGUGAAAAAUGGUGGACCUUCAUCCUAAAUCCACAUUGGUCUGAUUGGCUAACAGACUGCUGUUUGAAGACUUGCAUUUGUUCCUCUCGCCUGAUCUUCUCUUUUUUCUUGUGUGAGUAAAAAAAGAUUUGCUUACUGGCAUAUCCGGAGCUCUUGAGUUUUAUUCUGCUUUUUACAUAAUAAGUUCUUUGUCCUGAAAGCAAAGAAAUGUGAUGACUAUAGCUUUUGUUCCAAGAUCUGGGCUGAGUUUUGGGCCAUUAAGACUCUUUCCAAUUGUAAGAUGUCACUCCCUCAGGCUUUCUAUGUAAUGGGUGAUAAAGGAGUUGGAAAGCAAAUUUAUUGCCUCUCUUUCUUAAAGGCCUUCUUUUUUCAUCCUUGACGGUGGUAACGAGACCUUUACGGCUGAUGCUAUUGGGUUUCUCCUGAGUGUCUUAUUCUUCAGUGUCAUUAACAAGAUAAGUUAUCCUUUCUAAAAUCUCCUCCUCCUGUUCACUUUCAAGGUCAUGUUUUUGCAUACUUCAAUGUUAAUGUGCAAGAAGUUCCCACCAAGCAUAUGGAAACUCUACAGAUUGUUCUGGAUUAGGACUGCAUUUAUUUGUCAUGGAUCUUGAGGUAUUUUUUCUGGGGGUAUCAGACAUUACAGACAGCCACAAUUUUCCAGUGAGCCUGUUAAGAACUGGAGCUGCUUUUAUGUCAUGUGAUAUUCCUCUUCAUCAUUUUUCCCAGACCUCUGCUUCUCUGCAGUUUGGAAGCCCAUCAUUGUGCACAAUAUUCACAUUCCUAGAGUGGAUUAUUUCUGAUGAUUUCAUAGUUUCAGUGGCUGAAACCUCUCUGCACAGGGUGCAGCAAUUUCUAUUUGCAGACAGUCUUUAUUCUGCUUAGUUAACAAUGAUACAGCAAAUUUCUAAUUCCCUACCAACAGUGAAUUUAAAAGAUCACAGUCUUUAAAAGACUGAAAAAAAAAAACCACUUUCUCCAAAUUCUAAGGAGUUUUCUAUCUACCUAUGGCUUUUGGGAGCAUAGUGCUCCUCCCAGUGAGGGGCACAUACUCAGGGAAAUACCAUCCAUGCAGUCUAGCAAUGAAGAAUGAUCAUUAGAGAUGAAAAGGGCACAGCUACAUUGUAGAAAGAUUUAAACUUUACUGAGUCUAGGAUGUAAACAGUACAGUAAACAGAUCUGCCACUCUAUUUGCAGAAGAAUGAACUCUGCUCUGAUUAACAAAAAUAUAAAGGUCAGUAGUCUUCAUGUCUCAUGUGGACACAGACUGAAUGUAGCUGGAUCAGGUAUUGUCCCCUAUGGGACAGAAUCUGCACAACUGAGUGCACUGUGAGGAUUCCAGCCUCAUUCUGAAACAUCCAGAGCUGGGGAUGGUUGGAGACAAAGGCUACUACUUUGUAAAAACCUGUCAAGUGCCAACACUAAUUAAUCCCAAUGUAUUCUGGGGACAGGAAUCCUCUCUUCGUUGGACACAUCUAGUCUCCUUGCACAUAGGCCAGGGCCCACUGCCAGUCCUGCAAUACAAAUGUUUCUUCACAAUCAUAAAACCAUGGGAUUGGAAACAAGUCCUUGAGAACAAGAGUGGCAGGAGGAUUCUCAUCUCUACUCAUACUGCAGAAGGCAGACUCAGACAAAACUGCUGCCUUGCCCUCUCCCUGGCUGUUCCUCCUUGGCAGUGUUGAACAUGGAACAGAGGCAGAGUGGCCAGCAGGCUGAAGCAGAUACUACGCUCCUGAUGCUCUGUUUGCUUCUCUUCACUGUAAGAUGAGUGCUCAGUCAGCACUCUGACACUCAGAAAUACGUGAUAUAGCUAAAAAGAAUACAGAAAUACCCUAACCAAACACAAUUCCCUUUUCCCUCAAUCUUGAUUCAGCUAGAUGAGAAUGCUAAGCUUCUGAGACACAGAAGUAAGUCUCUAGUGCCUCAUCACUUGCUCUUCUUACAGGACAUCUUGUUCUAUGCACUUCAUAAAAUCAUUUUAAAAAGUCAUUUUUUAUUAACUAGAGCGACAUAACUAGAGCUUCUUGGUCACUGCGUUUAUGCAGACACCGGCAUAUUUCAUAGCCCUGUUUCUAAAAUGCCACAUUUCUGAAGCUACUGCAUCGUAGAGAGCUCGUGAUAGAUAUUUUUCUUGUAACGUGUCAUUACUGUAAUUGUGGUUGCUUUGCUUUCAGAAGGACUAAAGCAGCGUAAUUCAAAUAGAUGGAAAUACACAGACUGCGAUUUUCAAAGUGACCUAGGGGAGUUAAGCAAUUCUUUCUCAGUGUAGACUGCAUGCUUUCCCCACUUCUUCUUUAGGCACUUCUGAAUAUUACUAAGAAUAUGCUAUAGCAGCAAUGCUUAAAAGGAUUUUCAAACCAGAAAGCUCAUCUGCUAUUCAGAAUGCUAGGAGAACACAUAAGCAAAGAGAAAACAGGAAGGUAUUUCAUGUUUUGAGAUUAUCCUAAAUCAGGCUCAAUGGCAAUGACAAAGCAAACACAGAAGCUCGGCUUUGAUUUAUCAUUAGCAUGCAAAAUAGAAGAAAUGAACAGAUAAGCUACCCUGUGAGCAGUGAUAAAGGGCAUUGCUAAACCCUUGCAAAUUUUGUUUAACGUGUUAUCUUUGAAAAUCCUUCUUUAUGAACUUGAAUCUACAUUGUCUUCUCUCAUUAUAUUUUUCCGCAUGUGAUUGAGCAGCCUCCAACCUCAAGCUCAUCUCUCUCCUGUCACCCCCCACCCCCACGCUCAUUCUGCUGGAACAUAAAAUGAACAGAGCUUCAUUUGUUCACCCGUGCCAGCACCAGCAGUAAUGUCAGCGCAGCAGAAGCAGCAGCCCUGCCUCCACAGCUCUGGGUGAGGGGACAUCUCGUGUUUCCGGGAACCACGCAUCCUAAUUAACUGCUGUUCCUCCAGGAGAACAGCUAGUGGUUUUCUAUGGCUCUCCUGUAAGCAAUGGUUCCUUUUGAAAAAAAGAAGAGGCGUUAAAAAAAACAGUAUUUUAGAACUGCUGCAUAUUCAGUUAGAUUUAAAAAAAUAUGCCGUAAGAAAAAGAAAAGCCUUCAAAAUUAGGGCUUAAAAUGAACUGGCAGGUUGUUUUAGGUAAUCACUACAACAGCACAAGCUGAAGUCCGAGCAUCUGAUUUCUUGAAACUCCACUAAAGGACUUUCUUCUUUUAUAUAUAUAUGGAUCAUAUAGUGGAGAUAUAUAUAUAUAUAUAAUAAUAGUUGUCUGUACCAAGUUCUUCUUUCUCUCUUCCAAGAGAGCAGGCUUCAGUUUUCUGCUGUGCUCCUGGGACACAUGCAACAGAAUGGCUUUCAUUAACUCAAUCUUAAAACCAUGUAGUUCAGUUUGCCUGUCUCUGAUCUGUCUAGAGCCCUUAUUCUUCAGGUAUCCUGAAGCCUUCCUCAUUUCCAACAUAAAAGUACUCCCCGUCUGUUUACACUCAAAUGUUGCUACUCAGCCUGUUCUUGUUUGUGGGUAGGCAAACACUUUACCUUAUCUACCUACAAAGAACAACCUUAUUCAUGCUCUGAUCAUCUUUGCUAGGAUACAGAAAUCAAGUUCUUUCAGCUUCUCCUUUCCAGAUAAGAUAAUAAGAAAUAGAGAAACUAAUUGUUGGAGGGUUUACUAAUUGUUGGAGGGUUUUGUUUUGCUGGUUUUUUUUUAUUUUUAUGUUUUGAACAAGCUUCAGUUGACCUGCUUCAAGUAUGUCUAGCCAGAACUCUGCAAAGUACCUCAGAUGAAAUCUCAGUUGAGGCAUAUAUUAAUAUUUUUUUUUAUCUCUGCUGGGAGGCAGGCCAUCAGAUAAACCCUCCAAGCUUUCCAAUUUUCUCCCCUUUAUGUCAUCCUCAUGUAUUUCAUAUACUUCUUUCUUUUUCCAAGAGAACAGAAGCCCUUUGUGGUAGUAUUACAAACAGUUUGCAGUGCCUCGGCAGAGAAACACCCAUUCAUUUUCCUUAGGAGAUGAACCUACUUCGGUAAACAUAGGAAUCUACAAUCUGAACUCUUGGGAGUGCUAGGCACACCAAAAAAUCUAUCUCCUGAAGCUGCUAUUUCGGUAACUUUUUCAUUUGGAGUAUUUACUCCUAGUUGAUUAUUUUGGUUCUUUCCUGCAUGCUAGUCAGUUUGUUGCUUCUUUACUGUCCUCAGCUCUUCUGCUUUACUUUUUCUUCACUAUAAAACUAGAAAUGUCAUCCGUUUCUGUAAAGUGGGGAGAUUUUCACAGUCUUAAGAUCAAUGUUGGCUCAGGACAAGUUUAAUUUAGAACAGGUAAUGGGUCUGACUCACACUGUGCUGUUCAUGUCAUCCAUCUCUGAUUUGGAGCAAGCUUACUAAUUUACUUAUGACCUGAAAAUGUCUGAAAUCAAAUUAUAUAUAGCAUUUUAAAAAUAUUUAUAAUGUUAAGAAUGGUUAUAAACAUCACCAAAGUCCCUCGAGAUGAAAUUUCACAGUACAAUUCACAAUGGAUACGCCUCUUUCUGAAACCUACCCUGAAAACCUGCUUCACAACAUCUGGAAUGCUUCACACAAUAUAUUCAUGACAUUUACAAAUGACAGAGUUUGACAUUCUUCUCUCAGGCUUCCAAAAAGGAUUGCUUUUAAAAGAAUACAACAAAGAGCAGAAUGACUCCAAAAGAGGCUUUGGUGAGAUUAGAUUCCCUCAGCACUUCAACAUCUUUAUCUCUGACCUUGCAGGUAAGAAAACAUCAUCGGUCAGCUACAGCAGGAUGAGCAGUCAUGUAAGGAAUGCAGGCAAUGAUAUUCUCGUCUGUGAUCCAGAAAUUGGCUUUAAGACUCAGUGAGAGAAUAAUCACUCUGACCUUUGUAUGCAGCAUCUUAAAAAAACAGUGAGGAGAGCAGGCAUUUACCAUGUGCCACCAGAUGCUAGUAUGCAGAGAGAAAAAUUUCACUGCUUCCCCUACACAGCAUCGGGCUGAGCAGGAAUCUAAAACAAGCAAGUGGGGUGAGGACAAGAGGGAGCCACAGGUCUCUGGCAGUGGCAGAGCAGUCACAACCACAUCUUGCCAGUACUGCAACAUGCCACCUAGGAGAGAAAGCCUCUGAAUAACACGGAUCCAGAGCUGAACCAGGGACAGUGGGAUGAGGAAGGAGGAAUAAAGUUAGUCAGACAGCAGGUUUCCUGGCACCACAGCUGUAUGUUUGCAGGAGCAAGAAGAGGCAAGCAUGGACUGUUUGCUACAUAAAGUCCUGUAGCUUUGCAAAGCACACAUUCUUAACUUGAAGCUUUGCUGCGUCAUAUGAGAUAAACACCAGUACAUGUGCUUAACUUGGGCCUAAAAUCAAAGCACAAGGGUAUCAAAAAGAUGUCAACUUAAGCAUUGCUCUUGUGGAGCUGGGCCUCUCAUUUAUGAGGGCUUAGUAAUGGGAACCUUGCUGUCAUUACCACAGUGGUGGUGUGCCUGCAAAUGCUAAGGGAACAUGCUCUGAGGGAAGCUCUUGGAAAAGGCACAGCAAAGGAAAAUUAGAUUUAUGAGAGGACAGCAGGUUAGCAGGUCCCCGAAGAUUACAGAUGGUUCUGGAGACUAGGGAUUGAGCCAAUGAGGCUACAGAAAGGAGCAGUGGCAGAGGAGUGGCCACACUGAGGAGCUCAGGAGCUGUCCAGUGUCAGAGCCAGCACAGCACAGGACCUGUCGGUGGGCUCAGGCCAUGGCUAAAGGCAGACGAUGUGACACACAGCCACUUUUACAUAAACAUGUGCAAGCAAAUAAAGAGGCUAAAAUGUGUGGUAAAGGCUUUAACUGAUGAUGGUAGGUCCUCUUGGGUUCAACUUGACAGGCUGCAGAUGGCUGCUUGUGCUUCAUCAGUGCAAUACCAUGCAAGGAUUCAGUGGAAGAGAAAAAAGGAUUGAGUGAUAUGCAGGGCUCCUUAUUUUUAUAUCCUGUUUCUCUUUCUCAGUGGGAUGUUUUCUUGCUUUCACAAAGGAAUCAUGAAGCAAAGGGACAGGUACAGAAGACUUACAGAAUCUUAUCUAGCCAAAUCAGAAAGACAUGUAGAGGUAUUUGAUGCUAAAUGUCACAAGACAGAGGCACUACUCCUUACAGAGAGCAAAUGAGAGAUGCUCAGGCUUGGAACUGUCUUUGAAACAAACUCCUUGAAGUUGCACAAAUAACCUCUUGCAAAAUGGCUACUAAUCUUCCUUUGUAAUCAUUCCAAGCUGUUUGUGUAUCACUCCCCCCUAUCCUGUGUCCACAGCAAAGUGAAACAGUGUUUAGAGUCCCUAAUGCUAUAAGCCUGUUAAGAGUAAAAAAAAACCUUAAAACACUCUUUAUUCUUCCAGCUGUCGACAUACGCGGGCAAUUUGCUUAUUUCUUGCCAUACAGCUCAUAGUCAGAGUUCUCAAGAGACAAGGCAAACUCUUCUAGAUAUCACUCUAUUGAUACACAACGGUUUCUUUUGGGGUGCAGCUACUAUUACUACCUGCGCUUGACAAAAAAGGUCAGGGAUAUUAGCGAGUCAUGAUUUUCCCUCCAUGUAUUUCUACAGUUCAGGGCAGAUUAUCCUUUAUCACCAGUUGGACUUGUAUUGCUUAACAUUCUUCUCUGUAGUGGUCAUAGAGAAGCCAACUGCUUUCUUGUUAAGCUGAGUUUAUACUGGCAAGCCUGCUUUGUCUACUUUAGACUUACAGUGGAAUGAAGGAGGAAAAAAUGUCUGUUAUUCAGCAAGAUAUCAGUGACGAAAGUAUGGCCCCACAGCCACCUGGUAUGUAAGUAUCUCAAUUUUUCUUUUGGGGUGAAAAGCUCUCAUAACUUGAGACAGGCAUUUGUUGGACACUUCUAGGAUUUGCUGACACUGCUGAAGCAAAAGUUGCCAGGCCUUUUCCUUUCCUGGAGAUUCCUUCUUAACCUAGACCUUUAUUUUGCCACUUGCCCCAUUUCCACUUUUAAAUCAGUGGAUAUACUCAAUACGGAAGACCCCACAUUUGCAAACUACCACAAGCCUGAGUGAAACCUUGGAGCUCACGUCACAAAUGUGCAGCUUAACAUACAUUCUCUUCACUAAGUCCUGAGGCAAAGAUUGUGCCUUCGCUAGCUAUGAUGUCUUCAGUGAUACAAUUGCUCACAAGGUGGCUGGAGAUUUCAGGUGACAAAAAAAAAGGACACUGUGAUUUGGAAAAGCUAGCCCACAGCUGCGCAGGUCAUUUCCGGACAGUGAUUCAAAGCUCACCAAUAGGUCAACACUAGAAUAAGAAAGUGUCAAGCAGGCUCCUUGCUGUGUUUUCUCGUAAAUUUAUUAAAGAAAGAAAUGCUGGCCUCUGAACAGUAUCAACAGAAAAAAAACCAAAACACUGCUUAUAUCAAAUCCAGAAGGCAUUGCUGAAGAAAGCUCUUCCAAAGAUGAUUACAGUGCUGGAGCAUGUCCUAACCAGCAGACCGUUGACUGUAUCUCAGAAAGCUCAUAUAAGAACAAGCCGGUGAAUGCUGAAAGGUCGUCAUGCUUUCAUGCUUUGAAAUAAAAGGCUCUGAAGGAAAAUGACUGCCCACAAGUAGACGAAGAAUAGUGGUGCAGUGACCAGGAGUGCUUCAAGGUUGUAUUUCAAGAAGAUGAGAUCCAUGUAGAAAACCAAUUAUUCAAAAAUAAAGCCACAUUUGCACAUGCAACCACCACAGUAGCAUGUAACCAGAGGGGUCUCAAUCUACAAGGGGCAGUCACACACACAUGAAAAUACACAGACAGUUCCACACACAGCUUUUGUCCUUUCUGUAACCACCUUGCCUCACAUUUAAGUGUAAUCAGCACAGUACUUAGCACCACUCAGUGAACAAUUUUUCUGUAAAUGGAUUCUCUUCUUGUGCUCACAAAUAAGACAUUAUGUACAUGUUUAUAUGCAUUUAUCUUUUGUAUUAGAGAAGCAAUUGAGAAAUGUAUUUACCUGGGACAAACAGAAAGCUUUUUGUGGAUCUUAAAAAUGUUUUAUGGUUUGAACUUCCUUUCUCUUCUAAAGCAAAUGCUUCAGACUAUACAAUUGUCAUGACUAAACAUAAACAUGGGGGAAGCUGAUUAUGCUGCC